CACCCUCUCAUGUCCGGCCAUAUCUCUCAUUUGUUCCUUUUUCUUUUCUUUUCACUUAAACACACUCCUCUCUACUCUUAUAUCCUCUCUCACCGGUACUUCCACACCACCACCACCAUUUUCACCAUCAUUUUUCCAACAAGACCACCGGAAAAAUCCUUAGGAACCCCUAAGCAUCAUCAUCCCUUUAUUUGAGGUUCUAGCUAAUCUCCUUGGAGCUUGGAGAAUUAGGCUUUUGCAGUUGCGAGUUUUCGUAGUCUUUGUGACAACGGAAUCAGAUCCAAGUCAGUGCUCUUUCAUUUUGGAUGAUGCGUUCUUCCCUACUGCCCAUGGGGGGAAGAGGUUCCUUGAUUGUGUGUGGAUGAGGCCACUGUCCAUAGGGCCAAAAGACCACAUGCAAGAGAGGUCCUAUUUGACGCGCUCUCUGCUGCCCAUGGGGGAAGAGAAAAACCUUGAGGGUAUGGG
Molecule: long non-coding RNA, 465 nt
Organism: Quercus lobata
Lineage: Eukaryota; Viridiplantae; Streptophyta; Magnoliopsida; Fagales; Fagaceae
Exons: 3
Source: RefSeq, a predicted model, not a curated record